This is a transfer RNA of Microdochium bolleyi, 95 nucleotides long. It matches the Rfam family "tRNA". Rfam says of the family: Transfer RNA (tRNA) molecules are approximately 80 nucleotides in length. Their secondary structure includes four short double-helical elements and three loops (D, anti-codon, and T loops). Lineage: Eukaryota; Fungi; Ascomycota; Sordariomycetes; Xylariales; Microdochiaceae. The record is from Rfam.
GCCCGGUUAGCUCAAUCGGUAGAGCGUGAGACUCUUAUUCCAUUGGAACAAACAUUCCAAUCUCAAGGUUGCGGGUUCGACCCCCGCAUCGGGCU